This 253-nucleotide ribosomal RNA is filed under the name uncultured bacterium. Its description in RNAcentral is "partial 16S ribosomal RNA". It matches the Rfam family "Bacterial small subunit ribosomal RNA", at positions 524 to 776 of the family's 1533-position model. The record is from RNAcentral.
UACGUAGGGGGCUAGCGUUGUCCGGAAUCAUUGGGCGUAAAGAGCGUGUAGGCGGCCCGGUAAGUCCGCUGUAAAAGUCAAAGGCUCAACCUUUGAAUGUCAGUGGAUACUGCCGGGCUAGAGUCCGGAAGAGGCGAGUGGAACUCCUGGUGUAGCAGUGAAAUGCGUAGAGAUCGUAAGGAAGACCAGUGGCGAAGGCGGAUCUCUGGACAGUCCCUGACACUGAGGCACGAAGGCCAGGGGAGCAAACGGG